RNAcentral lists this ribosomal RNA (253 nucleotides) under uncultured bacterium. RNAcentral describes it as "partial 16S ribosomal RNA". It matches the Rfam family "Bacterial small subunit ribosomal RNA", at positions 524 to 776 of the family's 1533-position model. The record is from RNAcentral.
UACAGAGGGCCCAAGCGUUGUUCGGAUUCAUUGGGCGUAAAGGGUGCGUAGGCGGCGCGGUAAGUCGGGUGUGAAAUCUCGGAGCUUAACUCCGAAACUGCAUUCGAUACGGGCAGACUAGAGUGUGGUAGGGGAGAUCGGAAUUCCUGGUGUAGCGGUGAAAUGCGCAGAUAUCAGGAGGAACACCGGUGGCGAAGGCGGAUCUCUGGGCCAGUACUGACGCUGAGGAGCGAAAGCGUGGGGAGCGAACAGG